This 628-nucleotide long non-coding RNA is filed under the name Pan troglodytes (chimpanzee). RNAcentral describes it as "lncRNA (ENSPTRG00000053396.1)". Lineage: Eukaryota; Metazoa; Chordata; Mammalia; Primates; Hominidae. The record is from RNAcentral.
AUCAAUUAAAAAGGUUCUUUUUAUUCAAUAAAGUGAUAACUAUCCUUAAUAUCCCACUCAAGGUUGAAGAAGAAAUGAAGAAGCAUGAAAGUAAUAAUGUGGGAUUACUAGAAAACCUGACUAAUGGUGCCACUGCUGGCAAUGGUGAUGAUGGAUUAAUUCCUCAAAGGAAGAGCAGAACACCUGAAAAUCAGCAAUUUCCUGACAACGAAAGUGAAGAGUAUCACAGAAUUUGUGAAUUACUUUCUGACUACAAAGAAAAACAGAUGCCAAAAUACUCUUCUGAAAACAGCAACCCAGGUAAGACUUGUGAUAGUGAAUUACUUUAGGUCAGUUGUCCACAAUCUUUUUGGCACCAGGGACCGGUUUUGUGGAAGACAAUCUUUCCAUGGGCUGGGGGAAGGUGGGGAUGGUUUCAGGAUUGUUCAGUCACAUUACACUUAUUGUGCUACUUUAUAUUAUUAUUACAUUGUAAUAUAUAAUAAAAUAAUUAUACAACUUACCAUAAUGUAGAAUCAGUGGAAGCUCUGAGCUUAUUUUUCUGCAACUAGAUGUUCCCUUCUGGGGGCAAAGUGAGACAAUGACAGAUCAUCAGGCAUUAGAUUCUCAUAGGAAGCACACAACCUAG